Acipenser ruthenus (sterlet) is the source of this 5667-nucleotide long non-coding RNA. RefSeq lists it as uncharacterized. The transcript has 3 exons. Lineage: Eukaryota; Metazoa; Chordata; Actinopteri; Acipenseriformes; Acipenseridae. The record is from RefSeq and is a predicted model, not a curated record.
UCUUUUUUUUUUUUUUAACAUUGUAACGGUCACCCUACACAGUUGAUAGGCAACUGUAUUGUCCUCCCUUAGGAGAUACUACUGGCCAAAUAAUUAAAACUAAAUAAGUCAGUAAGGGUGACUGACAGUAAAACAGGGUCGUCACAAUCCGUCAAUUUAACUAAACAAACUCUGGUUUAUUCCAAGGAACACAAAGCUUGACAAAAAGAAUAAGACUAAACAAUUACAGAAGAAAACAACUCAAUUAGGGACAGAGUGACAAGGAAGAGAAUAUAGUGUAAACAAACCCAGGAAAACAGAUUAUAAAUGAAGAUACACAGCAGAGCUUAAGAAUAUAACCACAACAAUUUAACAAUUACUGACACAGAGGAUGAUUAAUAUACAGAAUGAAUAAACAAUGCAACACAAAAUAUAAAUCAACAAAAUAGUAAUGAAGUCCCAAAGAGUAACAAACGAAAAAAAACAACAACGAUGACAAAGUCAACGGAAAGAGCUCACCAAACCGGUAUGGAAGUCCAGUUAAUUACUUGGGAUGAAUGUGAAUGAUGAUGUAGAGGUCUUCAGGAGAUGAAAAACAUUGAGAGCGAUGAAAUGGAUGUUUGAAGAAAACUGAGGUUGCAAACAGUCCAGAACAGAUGCACAAAAACGUACAACCACACACUCCAGCAAAAAACACAAAAGAAACUACCCCACCUAAUUAAGCAAAAAACGGUAACUAGACAAUAAACUAAAGCAGCAGACAGAUUGGUGGCCCGUACGGGGACACUUUAGUGUCCUAAUAAAUUUACUCCCCAAAUUAUCUGGUUAAAAUUUAAAAGUGCACAAUGUCUGACAAAGAGAAUCACUGGGAUUAGUUAGUUAGUGGGGUAGUUUCUUUUGUGUUUUUUGCUGGAGUGUGUGGUUGUAUGUUUUUGUGCAUCUGUUCUGGACUGUUUGCAACCUCAGUUUUCUUCAAACAUCCAUUUCAUCCAUUUUAUUUGGCCAGUAGUAUCUCCUAAGGGAGGACAGUACAGUUGCCUAUUAACUGUGUAGGGUGACCGUUACAACAUUUCCUAAAAUGUCUGUUUUGAUUAUACUCUGUGUCACGGACGGCUUUGGAAUUUGGUGUCAUUUAGAUCUGUGCUUCUCAACUGGGGGGCGUGUCAAACUGUCCAGGGGGCGUGUCACACUCUCCAAGGGCAUGUCAAACUGUCCAGGGGGUGUGUCACACUGUCCAGGGGGUGUGUCAUACUGUCCAGGGGGGCGUGUCACACUGUCCAGGGGGCGUGCCACAUUGUCCAGGGGUGUGCCAUACUGUCCAGGGGCGUGUCACACUGUCCAGGGGGCGUGUCACACUGUCCAGGGGGCGUGUCACACUGUCCAGGGGGCGUGUCACAUUGUCCAGGGGCGUGUCACGCUGUCCAGGGGGGCGUGUCACACUGUCCAGGGGGGUGUCACAUUGUCCAGGGGCGUGUCAUACUGUCCAGGGGGCGUGUCACAUUGUUUGAUUUGUUUUUACUGAAAGGUCGAAUCAUGUUCAUAGCUUCAGGUUUAUUCUUUUUUUUUCGUGUGGAAGAGAAACUGCAGGUACUUUUUGUAACUGUGUCGUGCUACUUACUAUGUGUCGCACUGAUUUAGAUUUCUUUGUUUCUGAUAAACUGGUGCUGCAGACUUUCAUGUUUAUAUUGUGUAUAAUUAACGGUGGCAAUGAAGUAUGUCAUGUACAGUGUUUUAGUAAAAUACUGGGAUGUUUCAUGUGUAGCGUGUUUCUCUUUGACUCAUUCCUCUUUUUUCUCUCAAUGUGAGAUGUUUUAAUUCUAAGCUGAGGUUGAAAUGUUGCAUCGCUGUUGGUCAGUCCUGUUUAAUCUCAGGUUAUCUCACCCCUAGCCGACGCGAUUCCAGCUCGAGCUCUUCAUCUUUCCACUUCACUUCCCAUUGUGAGUCACUGCUGUCAUUGGAAUAGGAGCUUCCCAUUGUGAAAGUCACUGCUGUCAUUGGAAUAGGAGCUUCCCAUUGUGAAAGUCACUGCUGUCAUUGGAAUAGGAGCUUCCCAUUGUGAAAGUCACUGCUGUCAUUGGAAUAGGAGCUUCCCAUUGUGAAAGUCACUGCUGUCAUUGGAAUAGGAGCUUCCCAUUGAGAAAGUCACUGCUGUCAUUGGAAUAGGAGCUUCCCAUUGUGAAAGUCACUGCUGUCAUUGGAAUAGGAGCUUCCCAUUGUGAAAGUCACUGCUGUCAUUGGAAUAGGUGCUUCCAAAUGUGAAAGUCACUGCUGUCAUUGGAAUAGGAGCUUCCCAUUGUGAAAGUCACUGCUGUCAUUGAAAUAGGAGCUUCCCAUUGUCUGUGUGUCACCAUAGCCUUGAUGUGGACAAUGGGAAGCUUUAGGAUGAUCGGGGUGACUGUACUGUCAAAAACAAUAAUAAUAAUAAAGAAGAUUGGCAGAAGACGCUCUCUGUCCAGCAUCUUGAAGCCAUGAUGGUACCAGCGCUGCACUGAGCGGGAGUCCCAGCCAGGAAAGGCAGGAACUCGGGACCUCCUCUGAGGGCUGCUGUCUGAAGGAUAAUCCCAGGAAAUACAGGCAGGGUUUUGGCCGGAAAAGCCCUGAAAUGCAAAGCAUCUGUCAUGGUGCUGUUUCUCAGGAGAGACUUUCCCAGCACUCGCUGAGAUUUUACUCCACGCACCAAAAAGUGAAGCAAAUCAGAUAAACAUUGUUGCAGAUGAGGGGUUGAGAGGUACAAACCAGGUCCUGGAUUGCAUGUGGGCAGAUAUUCAAAAAGAAUGUUAUUAUACUGAACUGGGAGCCGACAGACUGGAAAACAACACAUGUGGGUUUCCUGGCUGUGAAAUAGGGGCAAUCAAAUACAGAAUAUAUCUAUAUACUACUCAGCAGAAACAAACAAAAAACAAGAAAAACCAAGGCUGCUUUUGUAUAGAUCUUUCCAGUUUGUAGAAGAGCUUUCUGGAGUUAGUGUGCCUGUGCGCUGUUCAUAUGUACAUGUACAGUUUAUAUACUAUAGUUUGCUGUCUUGGUAUAAUUUGUGGUAAUCGGUUAUGCUGUUGGAACAGUAGUAGUAAUAAUGAGUUUUCACAAGGCUUUCAGUUUCACACUGAAUGAUUUGCCUGGACUAUGAUGAAGAAAGCAACACUGUUUCCAUUCAAAUCAAUUGUACACAGAGUAAUCAGGUUUGGAUUUAGCAGGUGUUUCAUUGGAAGAAUCCAUCUCUUUUGCAGAGUGAAUGUAAAGGGUAUCCGAACUCUUGGGAGUAAAGUGUUUGCAGUAAUUGCAGGGGGGGUCUGUAUCCCAAAACAAUAUUUAUUAUUUAUUUCUUAGCAGACGCCCUUAUCCAGGGCAACUUACAAUUGUUACAAGAGAUCACAUUAUUUUUACAUACAAUUACCCAUUUAUACAGUUGGGUUUUUACUGGAGCAAUCUAGGUAAAGUACCUUGCUCAAGGGCACAGCAGCAGUGUCCCCACCUGGGACUGAACCCACGACCCUCCGGUCAAGAGUCCAGAGCCCUAUCUGUGCACAUGUCGUAAAAACACAACUCGUGUCACACACAUUUAUCAGGCUUCCCAGCGUGCGUCCACAAGCAACCAAACAAGCAAACAGCCUGCCAUGCACCCAGCGUGUGUCGGCAGUGAAAGGGUUAAGAGAAAUCCAUCCUCCGCCACACUGCAGUGCGUCCUGGUUAGCACAGGAAACCUGAGAGUUGUGUUCUUUUUAAAGGCCUGAAUCUCUGGCUUUAGGAGAAUAAAUUAAACUGAACCAGUUGGAGGCCUCAGCUGCAGUGCAAGGGCCAGACUCAUUUAUAUUUUCAUCUGGAGAGCUUAAAUCUGGCGGCCAAAAAAAAAAAAGAAAUAGGGCACUGACAUAAUUAACUGUCAGUCAAACUGUGAAAAAAGGGGGAGCAGGGGGCUGCUGGUAAUUGCAGUCCGUGUGGAUCAGCAAUAGAGGCUCCUGCACUGCGCUGUGCUCACACCUCAGAGGAACAGCACCACAGAACCCUCCAGUAAAAUCGGACCACAGUGUGCUGGUACCCAGUCUGGUCUUCAGUAGAGGGGGGCUGCAGGCAGGAUGUUCUCAAGGGCGCACUGUAAAGCUCUAAUAGAUUCUGGGAUUCUGCUGUGCAUUCAAAGGCCUUGGGCAAGCCCCUUGACCUUCAAGGGCUUUGCGUGAAGCCGUAAAUCAUGUUUAGCAGCCGUAAAGUCUGAUUUUACCGGUCACUAAAAAUGCAGAGAAUGUGAAGAAUGGUGUUCACCUGGCGCUCUGCACCCGCUGUCAGAUCUGCACUUCAUGAAUCCAUUACAAUUCAAUUGAAGUGCAAUGAACACUUGCAUUGCAUUUGUUGAGGAGAGACAGGAACACGUUCAGAGAAGGGCAAGACGAUAAGACCCUGCAUAUUCAAUCCCAGGGUCACUUUGUUUGGGAUGCCAGAGAAUGGGGUGCUAAAGCGUUAUCAUCUCACACCGCAGGUCAUCCUAGACCUAAUAGCUGAAUUGAGGGAUGAGCUGGACCCCAGUGUCAAUCUAAGGACCGCUAUCCCUGCACAGUGCUGUGUUCUCUGCACUGCCUCUGGUUCCUUUCAGACCUCAUGUCUGGAAGAACAGCCCAAUCCACCUUUUCCAGAGGCAAAUUGCUGGAAGUCAUGCUGAAAUGGGCAGGCCAAUACAUAUAAUUUCCUAAGGAGACUAGCAUAAUUGAUGUUGGCCGAGGCUUUUCCAAACAACUCAUGCUCCUCUCAACUCUCAGCUCCUCAGAAACCGUUUCUUUUCCGUGCACCAAGAGGACUUUACUGCCCUUCCUUUGACAUAUUUUUUCGUUGCUUUGUAUUUUCAUACUCCACAUGUCCUACAGCAACUACUGCUGUCUGUACUCCUAACUGUGCAGGUGCGGCCUCUAAAUAGAGCGAUCCGCUCCUUGAGACCCUCAGGAUCAAGAUUGCAGAUCAUUAUCUGUGUGUGUUCAGUAACUUGCAUUGCUCUUAAGCUUCCAUAGGGCGCAGUGCAAUUUGACAUUUGCAUCCGCAAUUACUUGCACUGCACCUAUACUUCCAUCACCCUCGGAGUCUUUUCUUUUGCCUAACCGCACAAUUCCCUGUGCUGUGCCACCCACACACACACACACGCACAGUUUGCUCUGGGCUCAAAGCUGUCCAUCGUGACAUCUCCACCUAAAUGCCAGCGAGUUUCACCAAUUGUCUCAAUUGUCAGCGUGAAGCACAAGAAUUCCAUGUGCUCCUUCUUCAAGGCAAGCCUCCCUCAGGGCAGCCCUGCUGUGUAUUUGAUCAAGUCUUUCUUCACUUGGAAGGUGUCCAGUGCAGCCCAUCAGCGUGCGGUGAUGGGAGUCAGGUCACGACAUGUGCACAAUUACACAGACAAUGCAGCAGCUUCUCCCCGAGGGCUGGAGCUGAACAAGACAGCUCUCCGUUAAUGCUGCUGGAAUCAGAUAGAAAGACUGUCGCUGAGUGAUGUGCAAAUGGAAUUCAUGAAUGUCAUUGCUGUAUGAGAGAACCUCCCACGCCGCCCUGAUCCAAAGUGGAUAAUGUACAGAUACAAACACUUCUUAAAGAUAUUUAAACAUGCUCUCUAUGUACCUUCAUGUCUACCUCCCUGUUUCUCUCAGCGGUCCAUUGUUUAAAAUAAUACUCCUAGGAACAAAAUCUAUUUGUGUCGUGUUAUUAUUUUAUCAU